AGAGUUUGAUCAUGGCUCAGAAUGAACGCUGGCGGCGUGCUUUACACAUGCAAGUCGAGCGAGGCGUGGAGCAAUCCACAGUCGAGCGGCGAACGGGUGAGUAACGCGUGGAUGACCUGCCCUUCAGCGGGGAAUAACCCGGGGAAACUCGGGCUAAUACCGCAUACGACCGAGAGGUGAAAGGGGGCCGCAAGGCUCUUACUGAAGGAGGGGUCCGCGUCCGAUUAGCUAGUUGGUAGGGUAAUGGCCUACCAAGGCGACGAUCGGUAGCCGGCCUGAGAGGGUGAUCGGCCACACUGGAACUGAGACACGGUCCAGACUCCUACGGGAGGCAGCAGUGGGGAAUUUUGCGCAAUGGGCGAGAGCCUGACGCAGCAACGCCGCGUGGAGGAUGAAGGUCUUUGGAUUGUAAACUCCUGUCAGCAGGGAAAAAGCGACUUGACCUAAUACGUCAGGGAGUUGAUUGUACCUGCAGAGGAAGCCCCGGCUAACUCUGUGCCAGCAGCCGCGGUAAUACAGAGGGGGCAAGCGUUAUUCGGAAUUAUUGGGCGUAAAGGGCGCGUAGGCGGCUUUGCAAGUGACGGGUGAAAGCCCUCGGCUUAACCGAGGAACUGCCUGUCAGACUGUGAGGCUUGAGACCGGGAGAGGUGAGUGGAAUUCCCAGUGUAGCGGUGAAAUGCGUAGA
This 685-nucleotide ribosomal RNA is filed under the name uncultured bacterium. RNAcentral describes it as "bacterial SSU rRNA". It matches the Rfam family "Bacterial small subunit ribosomal RNA", at positions 8 to 694 of the family's 1533-position model. The record is from RNAcentral.